Molecule: long non-coding RNA, 1463 nt
Organism: Dermacentor albipictus
Lineage: Eukaryota; Metazoa; Arthropoda; Arachnida; Ixodida; Ixodidae
Source: RefSeq, a predicted model, not a curated record
ACAUGUGUGUGUUCUCUGGACAUUCUUGAAGUUGUGAGUAAUUAGAUUGUUUUUUGCUGCGUUUAGGUUGUACCACCUCGUUGUUUUCGUGUACUUUUGUGCUCAUCGACGCGAAGUGAGCGUCCGGAGUGAAGGCGACGCGAUUAUGCGUGAGAAAGAAGGGCACCAGCGGCCUACGACAUCGGUGUUUCUUUGUGACAGUGUGUUUACUACGCCUACGACGGCCGUCAUUCGUGGCGAAGGAGAAAACAUCUUCCAUUCGGCCUGAACAGUGAUGAAGUGGACGUUUUGUUUUUCGGUGGAAUGCAUCGUCAACAUGGUCCAUCCACUACGUAAACGAAACGGCGUGCCCAGAGUACAGAUCGUGACAGCGCUCCGCCUUCAAACCGAGGGCCUUUUGCAAGGCGCAUGAACUGCUCAUAUAAAAGUUGCAGUCAGCAUGAAGCAAUUGCAGUCAGCAUGAAGCAAUUGCAUGGGAACCGACUGGCUGUCUUGGGCCUACACGUUGCUGAAAAGACAGUGAAGACGUCUGACCCGACAGGCUGUACUAGUUGAUCCAUGAUGUUCGACAGACAGCGCAACCUCAUAAAAUAUCUUCAUGGAUGCAAAAGGUGCCUCUUGUGCAAGUUCUGUUCUAGCCUGACACGGAAAACAAACCUGGCAGAAGGUAGAGCACAUGCUCUUUUGUAAGCAAAACGCAUGAUUGCAUUUUCUUGGCAGUUAUUGCAAUGUUUUCUGAUGUUUAUCUGCAUGAACAUUAAUUAUCUCAGCUGCUAAAGACACAUCACUAGACACUGUGAGCAGAAAAAAGUGAUUGUGCAGUACUGUUGAAGUCAUGCAACAUUAUGUUUAAGCAAACUGGCAGGGAUGCUAGCUGUUAAAAAGAAAAAGCUGACUUCUAGAAAAAUUUGCACUCCUAAAUGUGGAAUUGAAAUUCACUAUGCUUAUAAGCUACAAAAGAUUUCCAGGAUGAUCAGACUAGUUACACUGGCCAUUUACUGAUUCAAUAAGGUUCACUGAAGCUUGUUUUUAAAUUCCCACUGUUUUUAUGCAGGGUGAUGAUUUUCAGUCUUGUGGAAUUUUUAAAUAUAGUCCUGUUGCAUAUAGCAUAACUCUAGUCCUUGAGCAGGAAUAUUCAAACACGCAGAUAUAUCUAGCACAAGAAAUCGAAACAUAUUAAACUAAUUAAAAAAAGUAUUAUCUUUCGAAUGAAUUACAUUUUAGCUAAUAUAACCGAAAGGAAAGGGGCUUAACCAAGAAACCCGAUGUUUAUUAAUCAUAUCCUAAGAAGCCAGCAAACACUGACACCAAGGACAAGUUAGGGUAAAUUACUUGUGAUUAACAAAUGAAGUAAAGAAAUGAUAAAUUAAUGGAAAUGAAAGUGGAUGAAAAAACAGCUUGCUGCAGGUGGGGAACGAACCCACAUCAUUGCAUUACGCGUUAGAUGCUUUACCAAUUGAGCU